This 1260-nucleotide long non-coding RNA is filed under the name Anas platyrhynchos (mallard). RNAcentral describes it as "lncRNA (ENSAPLG00020000514.1)". Lineage: Eukaryota; Metazoa; Chordata; Aves; Anseriformes; Anatidae. The record is from RNAcentral.
UUGUCUCCUUAGUGGUGUUCUUACAGAGGACUAUACAAUGCCAGAAAUAGUUUGUAAAGAAGUCUGUCCUCUUAAGUCCCCAGCUUAGAGAUCAAGAUAUGUUUGCUAACAUGCUUUUAUGUCAACUCAGACUCUAAGCGCAUGGGAGCAGAAUCUAACUUUGCUGUUAGCUCUACAAAUUGUCUGGAAGCCACAGGGACUGAAAAGCUAAAGGAGGGCAAGCUUAAGCUUGUAGAAUCCUGUAUUUUUUUCCCCCAGUUUUCUUCAAAGUCUAUAGACUUCAAACAUAGUUUCAAAGACAGUUAAGUCUUCAAGAUGCUAAGAUUUUUAUCUUGCUUUGAGAAGCUGCUGACUGAGGAGUGUUGUUAGUAACCUUCCUGAGGAAAAGACGUGAAAAAGAACGUGCCCUUUACUAGCCAGGGAUAAACUACGAAAAUGUGAUUUGCUGGUUUCAGAGCUGCCUUUUUGGCUGCCUGCAAUGGAAUAUCUUAUUUACUGUACUAUGGUCUGUGUAUUUGACUUGUGAAUUAAAACGUGGUAGAUGAUAAGGGGGUUUUACAGAAUAGGUGUUAGUUGUGAUGGAUUUUAAGCUGAACAUAAAUGAAGCUGUACAGAUGUAAGCAGUUCCCUAAAGUCUAAGUUUCUAGCAUAAAAUGAAAGAAUGUGAUCACCGGUUUGGCUCGUAAAGAAGGGAAGUAAAAUAACGUUAAGUUCCCUGACUAGUAAGGGGAAAAAUAAAGGUCUGUGUUUCGAUGCUUUGAAGGUACAACUUCAGUUAUAACUGCUGUGUAGAUGGGCUAUAGAUGUAAUGCUGCUGUGGAUGUGAUGUUGAAGUUGGCAGCAGGGUUUUAUUUGAGGUGGGGAUGGGCACUAAGCUGCCACCUCAGGAAGCUGCGUUACGGGGCUGAGGGCGUCAGAAGGUUCCAGCAGCGCGGGCCGUUAGCACCGCAUCGCCGCUGCCUGCGGGUGGUCCUCGGCGCUCCUCAGGGGGUGCCCUGAAGAGAAUGUUGAAUGGUGAAAAACGAUGCUCCGCAGGUCUCCUUUUCCCCAUCUUCAUAUCAAGAGUAAAACCCAUUAGCAUGGGCAUGGAUGGUCAAGCUUAUGAUCAGCUGAAAUAUUUGAGUGCCUCGGAGAGCAAGUGAUGGUGACAUGUGGUGUUUUGCCAUUUCCAUAGUCUACUCACUACUUCUAACACAGGAGUUGAAAAUUAUCACCAGAAGAUUAUUUCUGAACUUGAUCAACUAAAGGAUUAAGGUAAUU